RNAcentral lists this ribosomal RNA (500 nucleotides) under uncultured bacterium. RNAcentral describes it as "partial 16S ribosomal RNA". It matches the Rfam family "Bacterial small subunit ribosomal RNA", at positions 30 to 523 of the family's 1533-position model. The record is from RNAcentral.
AUUGAACGCUGGCGGCAUGCCUUACACAUGCAAGUCGAACGGCAGCACGGGAGCAAUCCUGGUGGCGAGUGGCGAACGGGUGAGUAAAGUAUCGGAACGUGCCCAGUCGUGGGGGAUAACGUAGCGAAAGCUACGCUAAUACCGCAUACGAUCUAUGGAUGAAAGCGGGGGAUCGCAAGACCUCGCGCGAUUGGAGCGGCCGAUAUCAGAUUAGGUAGUUGGUGGGGUAAAGGCCUACCAAGCCGACGAUCUGUAGCUGGUCUGAGAGGACGACCAGCCACACGGGGACUGAGACGCGGCCCAGACUCAUACGGGAGGCAGCAGUGGGGUAUUUUGGACAAUGGGCGCAAGCCUGAUCCAGCAAUGCCGCGUGCAGGAUGAAGGCCUUCGGGUUGUAAACUGCUUUUGUACGGAGCGAAACGGCUUCCACUAAUACUGGGGGCUAAUGACGGUACCGUAAGAAUAAGCACCGGCUAACUACGUGCCAGCCGCCGCCGUAA